Long non-coding RNA from Oryzias melastigma (Indian medaka), 2477 nucleotides. RefSeq lists it as uncharacterized. Lineage: Eukaryota; Metazoa; Chordata; Actinopteri; Beloniformes; Adrianichthyidae. The transcript has 4 exons. The record is from RefSeq and is a predicted model, not a curated record.
GAUCCAUAACCCAUAACCCCUGUUGUAACAGAAAAGUAUGUGCAACACAAGAGGCCUUCAGCUCUUCAUGUAUUUGCUCUACUGUUGGGUAGGACAAAAAAAUAAAUACAUAAAAAAGAAGGAAAAUGGAUGGAUAUUUAGGGCGAACACGCUUGCAUUGGAUUUGUAUUCUCCCUGUUGAUCGAGUUACUGAAAACAUCACAAGGACAAAGCUGAGUUCCUGAUUGGUAGAUGCAACACGACGACCUCGCCAAAAUUCAAAUAUUUCAACUUUGUUCCUGGAACUCUUUAACGCAAUUAUCAUAAUUCUGAUGGAUUCGGGUGCAGAAAAAAAUGUAUUUUUGUGCUUUGCAUAACUAUACAAAGCUGUUUUUCUCUGUGUUAGAAUCAGUUGGUUUACGUUCAUUUCAUAAAGACUUGUGUGAAGUGUCAUAUCAGCACAAAGCUGCAUUUCUCCGCAUACGUUUGAAUUACGUUAACUGCGUAAACAGUUGAAGAGUUAAGGAAUUUAAAAGAAUGAUAAAAGCUCUGCUGUUGAAGUGUUCAAAUAAAAUGAAAAUAAAAACAGUGUUGUGUUUUAGUAAUUUCACGUGUUUAAAAAAAAAAGGCUAUUUACUGCCUCCUAUUGCUUUGGAUGUACUUCCUGUUCUGUGGAUGAAAAUAAAGAAGUUAACAACAAACAGUUCUGACAGUACAGAGCUGCUUAGCACCAAAAGCCACGCCCCCUCAGGGGAAAUUUUUGGAUUUUUGAAACGGAGGCCUCAGAUCAACUUGAAAAAUGGCUUUUUAAGACAUUCAGGUUGUGGGAUUUUGGUUAAAAACAUCUAAAUCAUAUUUAAAGCACUACUGAGAAUGUGUUUUUUUUUUAAUAAAAAAAUUGUGAUAGUGGGAACUUAAGCAGUGAAGCUUACAGAGUAAAAAAAAAAAAAAGUAUUUAAAAACUACAAAUUAUUUGUUCAUUUUUAGUAGCCCAGAAAUUGAUAAUGAUAUUAAGCAGUCUCAAUGAUGACGUUUGUUGAGCUGCGACAUUAGGGGAGUCCCAAUACUCAAGCAUAAACGCAGAGAAAUUACAUUUAUUUACCUGUUUUUUGUUUAUGGUUAAUUUUGUGUUUUCAAAAGUUUGGGAAAAUUUCAGAUGCACCUUAUAUUAAGUACUUUGUUUUUGAGAACCAUUUUUGUCCACUCGUAGAGAGAGGCGGAGUGAUAUGUGAGAAGGCGCGGAGGAAAGGAGAUCCGGCGAAAGUAACGUAGAGCAGGAAGUCACGGGAGAGGAGUGUGCUCGUUUUUUGUUUUUUAGUUCUAGCAGUAACAAAAAAAAUAGUGCUGUGUAGUUUUGUCGCUCUGAUCCACAGUGAAUUACCUGAAGUUUGUUUUAUUUGAUGAAAGUCCGUGUAGCUUCAACCCGAAGCUUUGGAAGUGAUCUUUUAUUGCUAACUACUGGGUAGUUAAGCCCUAAGCUAACACGUGCUAACUAUCAAGACCGAGCUGUUUUCCACCACCCACACGGACCAACCUAGCUCCAUUAUGUUGUUGCCAGACUGGUAAGCAUCUAAGGAGGACUUGAGACGACACUAUGAAGGCUGGAGACCCUCUCUUCUAACUACGCACGAGACCUGCUGGAGAAGGAGCCAUGUUGCAGCCUGGUUGGCUAACCUGCAUCUUUGGGAGAGACAAGGACAUCGAAGGACCACACAGUGAAUUGAGUGGAAGUAUUGCUUUACCCAAGAUGACCAAGAUAGGACAGAGAAUGAGGAGAAGAGGGCAGCCGAAGGAGGGAGGAGGGAACAUGAGUCCAAUGAGGAAUGCAGCAACGGGUAGCAUCCCUACUGGAGUCAGUGAUUUGAAGACUGCAGAUACAAAGUUAGGGACUCAGAGAUAUGGAGCUGGAAUCUCAGGUUGCCAUGUUUAAACCGCCUUUGCACAGAUGGAGGGAGCCACAGCCACAGAAGCAAAGUUACUAGAGGUGUAGCGUACAAGAUUCACAGUGAUGUCAAAGCUUUGGAGGAUGCAGAAAUGGCACUUCACAUUCCUGUCUGUGACCUUCAUGUGGUCUUGGAUUGACAAGCAAACAUGAGACAGUGCUGUCAAAAGUUGUCCUGAUGUCAAUAUGGAGUUCUGGUAGGACUUUGUGCGGUUACAGUAAAAUGGGAAUUUCACAAACCUGCAGUCGGUGAAUAAAAGACAUCUUGUUUCUUUUUUUGUGAACUGCAGUGUUGAUGGCAGAUGUGCAGGUUGGUGUUUAGGCCACAAAAGACGUUACGUUCAGUUUUGACAGUAAAAAUAUUUCUGCUGUUUGAUUUUAGGACGGACCUUGUUGAAAAUGGACUUUCACUAGAUGCAAGACCCCCCACCCAAACGGGCAAUAGAUACAGUUCAUACAUAUUUAACAACUUGAACCUGUUAUGCUACUUUGAGGCUAUGCACACUGAGAGGGUGUGGACAAAAGACACAACACAGGAAUAAAAUAAUCAAUUGAU